Molecule: ribosomal RNA, 254 nt
Filed under: uncultured bacterium
Lineage: Bacteria
Description: partial 16S ribosomal RNA
Rfam family: Bacterial small subunit ribosomal RNA
Source: RNAcentral
CACGUAGGGGGCGAGCGUUGUCCGGAUUUAUUGGGCGUAAAGAGCUCGUCGGCGGCUUAGUAAGUCAGGUGUGAAACCUCCAGGCUCAACCUGGAGACGCCACCUGAUACUGCUGUGGCUAGAGUCCGGUAGGGGAGCAGGGAACUCCUGGUGUAGCGGUGAAAUGCGCAGAUAUCAGGAAGAACACCAGCGGCGAAGGCGCUGCUCUGGGCCGGAACUUACGCUGAGGAGCGAAAGCGUGGGGAGCAAACAGG